Long non-coding RNA from Drosophila sechellia, 413 nucleotides. RefSeq lists it as uncharacterized. Lineage: Eukaryota; Metazoa; Arthropoda; Insecta; Diptera; Drosophilidae. The transcript is spliced from 3 exons. The record is from RefSeq and is a predicted model, not a curated record.
UCCGGCUGUUGCCUGCGACUGUUGCUGCUGGUCGGCGCCGUCGAAGUAGUCGGAGGCAUUGCCGCGGCAAAUUGGGCACGUGCGAUUCGACUGCACUCACCCGCAGCCAUUUGUCCACGCACUUGGCGUGGAAUUCGUGGGAGCAGGGCAGGACGCGCAGUAGCUGGCGUAGCUCAAAGUCACACAUGCACACCACACAGGAUGAUUGGUCGCCUGGGGGAAAUAUAAGUGGAUCCCGUAUAUGGCAAAUUUUGUACAAUCAAUUUAUUUCAAAAUGUAUAGCAUACUUUCCCGGGCAGAAUUCAAACUGAAUUACGUAUACGCACUGUUGCCAUCGCGGGUGUAACUUCUUCCUACAAUUUUGUUUUCCCUUAUGUAUUGUAUCAAUUUGAUUUAAGAAAUAAUAUAAAAUA